This is a long non-coding RNA of Hippocampus zosterae (dwarf seahorse), 1323 nucleotides long. RefSeq lists it as uncharacterized. The record is from RefSeq and is a predicted model, not a curated record. NCBI's taxonomy places the organism in Eukaryota, Metazoa, Chordata, Actinopteri, Syngnathiformes, Syngnathidae. The transcript is spliced from 2 exons.
GUGUUCAAUCGAGCAUGGCAAGCACUUGCUUACUUGCAGAAAAGAUGACAUCACUAGCUAGCUCGACCAGUUAGGUGCCGUCAGCUCUUCAAAAUAAUCCACUUCUCAGACAAGCCUCACGCUACGAACAUUCAACUCUAUUGUUCCGGGUCCCCAUUUCAACACACUUGGACGGACGUCCUUGUUUAACAUUCUGCUGACUUCACAUGCUCAGAAUAGCAUGCCCUGCUUGUUUAACCGCAAAGAUCGCCGAUUUAAAUGUAGUUUGGGAUGUGAAGGUGGCAUGGGGUUCAUUGGUGGAAGUGCAACAAAAUUUGAUGUUUCAGGCCCAGGUGGGGAUGAUCGCUGAAGCUCUUGGUUCCUGUCAUCGCUGGCUUGGUAGCUUUCUGGGUCCGGCUCGGUGUCUGCGCUGCUGCUAGUUGAAGGCUGUCCACCGUCAGACUUGUCAACGGGCGACACUUGGUGCACCAGCCAUGCGUUCAGCUGCGUGGGGAACCGCGGAGAGCCCAGAGUCCGAACCUCCUCCAGAAGCCGGCGACUUGCAAAAAAGUAGUCCAAUUCGGGGCAUUUGGGGUGCACGGUGUAUCCCCCGAGAGUGUCUCUUAAGUUAUGGAAGGGCGUCUGGGUGUAGGCUGAGCUGGGACCCAAGUUAAUUUCAAUCAGAGGCGAGUAGUAGCCGCUCAAGUAGCUGUCGAUGUCCACGCGAACUCCAAUCAAACUGAGCAGGAUGGUCAACUGAAUCAGGCCUUCUGUGAAGUAUUUUUUCGCGACUUGCAUUUUCUAAAUACGUUGGCGCUGCGAAUAAAUAUGUAAUGCUGGCUUCAACAGUUCCUCUUUUUUCCCCCCGAGCGGACAAAGGGAAAAGCCUGAACAAUGAGCACGCCUUCCCCUGUCAGACAAAGAGGUCCGCCUGUACCGGCGAACUCGUUGGUUAGCAAACGCUAUGCUAGGUACUAAGCUACCAGCUUUAUGACCAAUUACCGUAAACCCCUUGGAACAAACAUAGCGAAACACGCUUCCUUUCAAUCCCUUGUAGUAGACCGCUUGUCGUUUUAAUGUUCAAAGCCCAAAGACGUCAUUAAUGUUAACAUAAAGUGCGCUGUCGAUUAAGCUCAAUGCGGAUAACCAAAGAGUGCUCCACAGAAAAAAAAACUUCGACAAAAUUUGCAUAACUAAGGAGAUUGGGUUAUAGACUUGACUAUAGCAAGAGCUGAUUGGGUAAUGUGGCCGUCUGUCACAGAUUUACCCAAUGACAUUUCCUCCUUGACAACUAAUCCGCCCUCCCCUGCAACCGAAAACGACAAAUAUUUAGAUUUUAUUAAA